This 308-nucleotide long non-coding RNA is filed under the name Pan troglodytes (chimpanzee). RNAcentral's name for it is "long non-coding RNA NONPTRT010691". Lineage: Eukaryota; Metazoa; Chordata; Mammalia; Primates; Hominidae. The record is from RNAcentral.
UGCUUACUGUGUGCCAGGUACUAUUUCAGGUGCUCUGCAUGGAUUAUCUCAGGUGAUGCUCUCAAUAAAUCUCGGAUGAGGUAUUUUCCCCUUACUUUCUAGACAGAGAAACGGAGGCACAGAGAAGGAAGCGGCAGGUAAAGCUGUGAAGAACCUAACAAAUUUCAAGAUUGUAAGUGCCUUUUCCCAGGAUGCCAGCAAGUACUGAGGCAAGCCUGUAUUUUGAGCUGCGUCAAACCCUGUUGGAAUAAAAAAGGACAUUUCUAGGAGAUCAGUCUUCAAGAUUGGCCCCAGUUUCCCCAGAGUAG